AGCUCUAAUAGCGUAUAUUAAUACUGUUGCAGUUAAAACGCUCGUAGUUGAACUUAGAAUUAUUACAAGUUGUUUUACUUGAUUGUAAAAUGCUUGCUUAAUUCUUAUCUACUGGAUACUCUACUCUGUACUUAAUUGUAUGGAGUAUCGCCUAGCCAGCGGAGCAAAGGUUCGUAAAUUCCUGAUUUUGCACAAGGAAGUAAAAUUCUGACAUGUGAUUUUGGGGGUUAAUUUAUGGAUCGGUGUGGGGUGCCAGUUAAUUUACCUUGAGUAAAUUAGAGUGUUCAAAGCAGCCUCUUGGGGCUUUGAAUAAUUUAGCAUGGGAUAAUGGAAUAGGAUUGGAUUCCUAUUUGUUGGUUUGACGAAUUCAAUAAUGAUUAAGAGGGACAGUUGGGGGCACUCAUAUUAAGUGGUUAGCGGUGAAAUGUGUUGACCCACUUAAGAUGAACUAAAGCGAAAGCAUUUGCCAAGGAUGUUUUCA
Molecule: ribosomal RNA, 481 nt
Filed under: uncultured eukaryote
Lineage: Eukaryota
Description: SSU rRNA
Rfam family: Eukaryotic small subunit ribosomal RNA
Source: RNAcentral